GACGAACGCUGGCGGCGUGCCUAAUACAUGCAAGUUGAGCGCUGAAGGUUGGUACUUGUACCAACUGGAUGAGCAGCGAACGGGUGAGUAACGCGUGGGGAAUCUGCCUUUGAGCGGGGGACAACAUUUGGAAACGAAUGCUAAUACCGCAUAAAAACUUUAAACACAAGUUUUAAGUUUGAAAGAUGCAAUUGCAUCACUCAAAGAUGAUCCCGCGUUGUAUUAGCUAGUUGGUGAGGUAAAGACUCACCAAGGCGAUGAUACAUAGCCGACCUGAGAGGGUGAUCGGCCACAUUGGGACUGAGACACGGCCCAAACUCCUACGGGAGGCAGCAGUAGGGAAUCUUCGGCAAUGGACGAAAGUCUGACCGAGCAACGCCGCGUGAGUGAAGAAGGUUGUCGGAUCGUAAAACUCUGUUGGUAGAGAAGAACGUUGGUGAGAGUGGAAAGCUCAUCAAGUGACGGUAACUACCCAGAAAGGGACGGCUAACUACGUG
RNAcentral lists this ribosomal RNA (497 nucleotides) under uncultured bacterium. RNAcentral's name for it is "partial 16S ribosomal RNA". It matches the Rfam family "Bacterial small subunit ribosomal RNA", at positions 28 to 507 of the family's 1533-position model. The record is from RNAcentral.